Molecule: long non-coding RNA, 118 nt
Filed under: Crocodylus porosus (Australian saltwater crocodile)
Lineage: Eukaryota; Metazoa; Chordata; Crocodylia; Crocodylidae
Description: lncRNA (ENSCPRG00005004380.1)
Source: RNAcentral
AGACAGCUUUCCACAGGCAAGGGGCAUGUGGCAUGUGUCCUGUUAGCAACAGGAAUUGUAACUAGUUUCCAAAAGCUGAAAAAGGCUUGUGUUGUUGAUUGUACCCGCAUUGCCAAUU